AAGGUAGCAUAAUCAUUAGUUUUUUAAUUGAAAGCUGGUAUGAAAGGUUGAAUGAAAAAAUGACUGUCUCUAUUUAAAUUUAUUAGAAUUUUAUUUUUAAGUUAAAAAGCUUAAAUGUUUAUUGAAGACGAGAAGACCCUAUAGAGUUUUAUAAAGUUCUUUUGUUAGUAAUUUUAGAAUUAUAAAAUCUAAUAAAAAAUUUUAUUUAGUUGGGGUGAUUAAAAAAUUUAAUUAACUUUUUUUAUAUAUUAAAACAUUAAUUUAUGGAAAAUUGACCCUUUUAUAAAGAUUAAAAGAUUAAAUUCC
RNAcentral lists this ribosomal RNA (306 nucleotides) under Gymnetron veronicae. RNAcentral describes it as "partial 16S ribosomal RNA". Lineage: Eukaryota; Metazoa; Arthropoda; Insecta; Coleoptera; Curculionidae. The record is from RNAcentral.